Molecule: ribosomal RNA, 445 nt
Filed under: uncultured bacterium
Lineage: Bacteria
Description: partial 16S ribosomal RNA
Rfam family: Bacterial small subunit ribosomal RNA
Source: RNAcentral
GUGGGGAAUUUUGGACAAUGGGCGCAAGCCUGAUCCAGCCAUGCCGCGUGCAGGAAGACGCAUCUAUGGUGUGUAAACUGCUUUUGUACGGGAAGAAACACUCCCUCGUGAGGGAGCUUGACGGUACCGUAAGAAUAAGGAUCGGCCAACUCCGUGCCAGCAGCCGCGGUAAUACGGAGGAUCCAAGCGUUAUCCGGAAUCAUUGGGUUUAAAGGGUCCGUAGGCGGUUUAAUAAGUCAGUGGUGAAAGCCCAUCGCUCAACGAUGGAACGGCCAUUGAUACUGUUAGACUUGAAUUACAAGGAAGUAACUAGAAUAUGUAGUGUAGCGGUGAAAUGCUUAGAUAUUACAUGGAAUACCAAUUGCGAAGGCAGGUUACUACUUGUGGAUUGACGCUGAUGGACGAAAGCGUGGGGAGCGAACAGGAUUAGAAACCCCAGUAGUCC